CAGGUUCUAGGGGAACAAUCAUUCCCACAUAAGAGGCAAAGAAGUGAAGAUUUUAGAUGAAUACAGAUUGUUUCUAAUUGUCUCCUACAAAUUGGUACUUGCUGUUUAUCUCUACAAGAAUUCAAUUAUGAGCUGCUGCAGAUGCUGACCUCAACACCCCCUGAAAGGAGGUGGAGAUCAGAAAUGAGGUACUCUGUGCUCUGGAAAAAACUGGCAGAACAGGUCUUCAGAUAGUUAGAUAUUUUUAGGAGCCAAUUUUAUGAGCCCAAUUCUUUUAUCUCCUCACAUCUAGAAAAACACUAAAACCCUUCAUGGUGAUGUCCGCUCCUUGUGACUAGCAACAGCCUUCUGCAAGACAUAUGUGUUGGGUUGCAUGUGUUCUCCCUUCACUGGAAUCACGUAUGUACUGACCUUCCCAUCUCCCUAUCUGAAGCAGUUUCUCAGAGCUAUUUGAGAUGCUGUCUCCCGGGCUCUAGAGAAUCUCUUGGACAGAGGAGGCUGGCAGGCUGCAGUCCAUAGGGUUGCAAAGAGUUGGACAUGGCUGAAGUGACAGCACGCAUGCAUGAACACAUGCCCUCCCGAGCUCUACUCCUCAUUUUGCCCAAAUACAGCUUAACUCACAAUUCUCACAUUGUGCUUAUUUUUUUUUUUUUUCCAGUCGACAUAAUCAUCCUGUAGAAGAUAGUACGUUUCAGCCUCUACUAAUCAAGUGGAUUGAGGGAAAAUUCCCCUGAAUCUAUUAAGGGAUAGUUCUACAUUAAUUCACCUUUGUCAGUGUGUCCAUGCUUGUUGAAAUCGUGGAGAUAGAAAAGUGUAAAGAGAAGAUAGGUUUCAAAUCAGGAAACCUCAGAGAACUCAUAAUGAUCUUCCAGCUGGCUGUCAUUCUCGAAGGUGCAUCUCGCAUUAUUCUGAAUUCUGUUGUCUGCUGUAACUCAACUCCUUUUUCUUCCACUGAAGACUAUUGGAAUGCGGGGCUUUCUCCCUUAUGAGGACUUAACAUUCAUGAAGUAUGCUUGCCAGGGGAAUAUUUUCAGUUUAAUAAUUUCUAAAAAUUCUAAUUUAAGGAUAGAUGGUAAGUAGAUAAGAGCUAGGUUCAUUAUAGUUCUUUAUAGUGUGACUUAAUUUCAGGUUUUUUUUUUAUUGUUUCAAACAGUUUGUGUUCACAUGUAUAAGAGGAUACAGUAAAUUCUAUAUUUUUGCAACUCCAUAGUCUGUAGCUUGCAAGCUCCUCUGUCCAUGAAAUUCUCCAGGCAAGAAUACUGGAGUGGAUACCCAUUCUCUUUUCUGGGGGAUCUUCCCAACCCAGGGAUUAAACACAGGACUUCUGCAUUCCAGGCAGAUUCUUUACCAUCUGAGCCACCUGCAAAGCCAACAUUAAAUACUAGAUAAAACAAAACCUGUAACUAUUUUCUCAGAUUCUAGAAAAUAGCACUUAAAUGACAAACCUAAGUAAUCACAAAAGAAAUGGGAAGACAGAAAGAGAACAUAUUUCUUAAAAAUAGUUGUUGGAAUACUACAUUGUGGGGUUACAUGACCAUAGAUAAUCUAUCUUUUUGGUGCAACAUUUGAUAAAAUGUUUCCUAUGAAUUCCUUAAGGUUAAAGUGUUUAAAUUUGAGUUAGAAAUAUUAUUAAGUUUUUACAUACUUACAGCAGCUUAAUCUAAGGAGUGAUGGUAAAUGACAAUUUGAAUUAUAGAGAUGUAUAAAGUAGUAUACAGAAAGUGUAUAAACAUCCCUUUGUUUCCCUAUAAAAGUUGCCCAUUUUAGAUGAUCCUUUUCAUAUAAUUUGAAUGUCUAAACAAAUGUUUUGCC
RNAcentral lists this long non-coding RNA (1812 nucleotides) under Bos grunniens (domestic yak). RNAcentral's name for it is "lncRNA (ENSBGRG00000022763.1)". Lineage: Eukaryota; Metazoa; Chordata; Mammalia; Artiodactyla; Bovidae. The record is from RNAcentral.